GAUGAAGAACGCAGCGAAAUGCGAUAAGUAAUGUGAAUUGCAGAAUUCAGUGAAUCAUCGAAUCUUUGAACGCACAUUGCACCCCUUGGUAUUCCGAGGGGCAUGCCUGUUCGAGCGUCAUUAUAACCCCUCAAGCUCAGCUUGGUGUUGGGGCCUGCUGCACUGGCAGCCCUUAAAAUCAGUGGCGGCGCCAUCUGGCUCUAAGCGUAGUAAUUCUUCUCGCUAUGGAGUCCUGGUGGAUGCUUGCCAUCAACCCCCAAUUUUUCUAUGGUUGACCUCGGAUCAGGUAGGGAUACCCGCUGAACUUAAGCAUAUCAAUAAGCGGAGGA
RNAcentral lists this unclassified non-coding RNA (329 nucleotides) under soil metagenome. RNAcentral's name for it is "partial contains 5.8S ribosomal RNA, internal transcribed spacer 2, and large subunit ribosomal RNA". The stretch from base 1 to 120 matches the Rfam family "5.8S ribosomal RNA", at positions 35 to 154 of the family's 154-position model. The record is from RNAcentral.